CACUGUAAAAAAUGAAUCCUGGUGCCACGGAUAUUACACAGAAAAAAUCAAGUAUGUCUUGAUUUCCUUAAGUAAUGACCUUAAAAGAAUAAUGACUAUGUAUUUUCCCAAAUAAAUCAACUACAUUUACGAGAAAAAAAUGCAGAGAAAGUGCUCCCUAAAAUAAUUGCGGCAAGUUGCACAAUUUCUCGCAAGUAAAUGUGCAGCCCCUUUUCCUUAAAUAUUUCAAACAUCCUAACUGCCACUUCACAAGCCGUUCACUCUCCACACACACCGCGACUGGAUUUGAAGGCUCAUGCAGGUCGUCUGUCAACAUCGGCAAAAUCUACUAAUCGAGACUUCCUCUAUUGACAGAAGCAGAGAGAUGGUUUUGCAAGGGCUGAUUCGAUACCUGUGUGAGAAACCAGGAGACUUAAUCCAGGAGUACAGUUGAGAGGCAGCGGUUCAAGAAGACUUCAUCAGACCUCAAUCCAACAGAACACCUUUGGGAUGAAUCAGUGGAAACUGAGAGCCAGUCUCCUCAUCCAACAUCAGUGUGUGACCUCACAAAUACGCUUCUGGAAGAAUGGUCGAAAAUUCAAAUGAACACACUCCUAAACCUUGUGGAAAGCCUUCCCAGAAGAAUAGAAACUUUUAUACUGUAGCUGCAAAGGGUGGACCAACGUCAUAUGGAUUAAGAAUGGGAUGUCACUCAAGUUCAUAUGCGAGUCAAGGAAGGCAACUCAGUACUUUGGCCAAUAUAGGCUAGUGU
This is a long non-coding RNA of Sardina pilchardus (European sardine), 751 nucleotides long. RefSeq lists it as uncharacterized. The transcript is spliced from 3 exons. The record is from RefSeq and is a predicted model, not a curated record. NCBI's taxonomy places the organism in Eukaryota, Metazoa, Chordata, Actinopteri, Clupeiformes, Clupeidae.